CCAUACUUGGCUAAAGAUUUUCCUCAUAUUUGGCUACCAAUGUUGCAUUAUAUUCCCACAUGCAGAAUGAAAAUUAGAAAGGAAAGCUUGCUUUUUCCCAGCAAAAAAAAUGAAAAGCUUGCUUGCCUUUUCUUGACAAAUUUUCACUUAAUUUAAAUCAAGCCCGUAAAAUACAAGAAAAUAAAGGGAAAAUAAAGGAAAAAAAACAAGCAGCAAGAACGACGCUUGAUUCAUGGUACCCAUAAUGCUGACCGUGACUGCAUCAAUAUCAUCUCUUUCUCCACCAUCUACUCGGAUAAAGCCACCAAUCCUGCAUCAUUUCCCUUUCCGAUUGUUUUCUUCAUAGAAAAACCCGUCGAAUCAAGAUGAUAAAUCAAGAAACAAAAGAAAAGAAUAAAGAAUCAAGACCCGAGAAGCUAGAACCCUCCAAGAGUCCAAGAAAACCCUAGCCGGAGCAACAAACCUAUAAUUUCCACCGUACGAAAUCAAUACAACAAGUGAAACAAGAACCAAAACCCUAGGAGUACCAAGACUCAAACCCCUAGGAGGACCAAGAAUCAAAACCCUAGGAGGACCAAGAAACGCACAGAAAAAGAAGGAAAAGAAAGAAUGGAGGGAGGGAGGAAGAGGGAGGAGGAGAGACCGAGAAAAAGGUAGUUCUAGUCGGCGAACCAGUUGUAGAGCACUGCAAUCUUGACUCAAGGGCGGCUAUACCUCUCGUCCACCGCUCCGUUAGG
RNAcentral lists this long non-coding RNA (737 nucleotides) under Phoenix dactylifera (date palm). Its description in RNAcentral is "long non-coding RNA (PDAC_LNC004436)". Lineage: Eukaryota; Viridiplantae; Streptophyta; Magnoliopsida; Arecales; Arecaceae. The record is from RNAcentral.